Molecule: transfer RNA, 61 nt
Filed under: Mazarredia convexa
Lineage: Eukaryota; Metazoa; Arthropoda; Insecta; Orthoptera; Tetrigidae
Description: tRNA-Cys
Source: RNAcentral
GGUCUUAUAUUCAAUAAUGAUUUUAGAUUGCAAGUCUAAAGGUGGGGUAUCUCUAAGUCCU